GGGGGGAGCAGGAGAAGCAGGCGAUCAAGAUGGCGUCUACAGAGGAGGAUGGUUCAGAUUUAGGUGAACUAGAUCGAUUUUAUCUUAUCCAGAUCUAACAGAAAAUUGCUCACAGUGAUAACACAGCACCGAAACCACGUUGGUUACAGCAUAAGGUUAAAUGAAGCCAACGGCAGCCUUGUCGCCAGAUGGGAAGAGCCGAUUGGGAAUGCUUUGUUAUAAGGGAUAACGGCUAAUAUUGAUUUCCAACUUGCCAGAUCUACAAUCACCAAGGAGACAGACUUCUGGGCAUGUCUCUGGGAGGGUUUCUACAAUGAGUUAAUUGAAAUAGGCAGUCACAAUCUAAAUGUGGAGCGCACCAUUCCAUAGACUGGGGCCCUGCACUGAAUAAAGGCAAAGUGUACAGAGA
This 409-nucleotide small RNA is filed under the name Rattus norvegicus (Norway rat). RNAcentral's name for it is "uncharacterized LOC108351793". The record is from RNAcentral. Lineage: Eukaryota; Metazoa; Chordata; Mammalia; Rodentia; Muridae.